RNAcentral lists this long non-coding RNA (619 nucleotides) under Salmo salar (Atlantic salmon). RNAcentral's name for it is "lncRNA (ENSSSAG00000120214.1)". The record is from RNAcentral. Lineage: Eukaryota; Metazoa; Chordata; Actinopteri; Salmoniformes; Salmonidae.
GUUGAAGGACUGUGAGGAGGGGAGGUCUGUUGAAGGACUGUGAGGAGGGGAGGUCUGUUGAAGGACUGUGAGGAGUGGAGGUCUGUUGAAGGACUGUGAGGAGUGGAGGUCUGUUGAAGGACUGUGAGGAGGGGAGGUCUGUUGAAGGACUGUGAGGAGGGGAGGUCUGUUGAAGGGCUGUGAGGAGGGGAGGUCUGUUGAAGGACUGUGAGGAGUGGAGGUCUGUUGAAGGACUGUGAGGAGGGAAGGACUGUGAGGAGGGGAGGUCUGUUGGAGGACUGGUGUGUGGCCGGCAGCGAGUUGCCACAUCGUCAUCCUCAGCACAGGCAUCUUCUUCAUCACCUCAGAGUGUGUGUGUGUGUGUGUGUGUGUGUGUGUGUGUGUGUGUGUGGCUGGGUGGGUGGGUUACAUUCUGAGUGUAAUUUGUCACUAGAUACCCGUCCAAAAUUGUAAUCGGUAACAUAACUGUUGGGAUUACCCAAACUCAGGAACAUAACUGUUGGGAUUACCCAAACUCAGUGACAUAACUGUUGGGAUUACCCAAACUCAGGAACAUAACUGUUGGGAUUACCCAAACUCAGGAACAUAACUGUUGGGAUUACCCAAACUCAGGAACAUA